RNAcentral lists this ribosomal RNA (490 nucleotides) under uncultured bacterium. Its description in RNAcentral is "partial 16S ribosomal RNA". It matches the Rfam family "Bacterial small subunit ribosomal RNA", at positions 28 to 507 of the family's 1533-position model. The record is from RNAcentral.
GAUGAACGCUAGCGGCAGGCCUAAUACAUGCAAGUCGAACGGGAUCCAGAUCAAAGCUUGCUUUGGUUUGGUGAGAGUGGCGUACGGGUGCGUAACGCGUGAGCAACCUACCCUUGUCAGGGGGAUAGCCCGGCGAAAGUCGGAUUAAUACCGCAUGACAUCAUUGAGAGGCAUCUUUCGAUGAUCAAAGAUUUAUCGGACAAGGAUGGGCUCGCGUGACAUUAGCUAGUUGGUAAGGUAACGGCUUACCAAGGCUACGAUGUCUAGGGGCUCUGAGAGGAGAAUCCCCCACACUGGUACUGAGACACGGACCAGACGCCUACGGGAGGCAGCAGUAAGGAAUAGUGGUCAAUGGACGGAAGUCUGAACCAGCCAUGCCGCGUGCAGGAAGACGGCCCUAUGGGUUGUAAACUGCUUUUAUACGGGAACAAACGUCGGUACGUGUACCGGUCUGAGUGUACCGUAAGAAUAAGGAUCGGCUAACUCCGUG